UGGGGAAUAUUGCACAAUGGGCGCAAGCCUGAUGCAGCCAUGCCGCGUGUGUGAAGAAGGCCUUCGGGUUGUAAAGCACUUUCAGCGGGGAGGAAGGCGUUAAGGUUAAUAACCUUGGCGAUUGACGUUACCCGCAGAAGAAGCACCGGCUAACUCCGUGCCAGCAGCCGCGGUAAUACGGAGGGUGCAAGCGUUAAUCGGAAUUACUGGGCGUAAAGCGCACGCAGGCGGUCUGUCAAGUCGGAUGUGAAAUCCCCGGGCUCAACCUGGGAACUGCAUUCGAAACUGGCAGGCUAGAGUCUUGUAGAGGGGGGUAGAAUUCCGGGUGUAGCGGUGAAAUGCGUAGAGAUCUGGAGGAAUACCGGUGGCGAAGGCGGCCCCCUGGACAAAGACUGACGCUCAGGUGCGAAAGCGUGGGGAGCAAACAGG
RNAcentral lists this ribosomal RNA (429 nucleotides) under Chloroflexota bacterium. Its description in RNAcentral is "Chloroflexi bacterium partial 16S ribosomal RNA". It matches the Rfam family "Bacterial small subunit ribosomal RNA", at positions 355 to 776 of the family's 1533-position model. Lineage: Bacteria; Bacillati; Chloroflexota. The record is from RNAcentral.